GAUUGGAGCUCAGAAACUCGUCAGGAAACAUUUGUUUAAAAACAUCCAGGUUAGCUAGUUAACUUGUAAAUGUGGUUCUUCUUUCUAGUCUAAAUAACUGAGAAACUGUCUUUUAGAUUUUUCAUUUCUUGCUAGCUACAUUACUUUUCAAUACGAUCACAUUGUUGUAACGAUAUCAGAACGUUGUUGUUACACUUGGAUACUACUGCCGUUCGCUAGCUAACGCCUAGCGUAGCUACCGUUCGGUAGCAAGGCAAUUUUCGUUUCCAUAUAAGGUUAGCUUUUUGCGUUAUACACGACCGUUCAUGUGAACGUAUAGUGUGAGAUUCGAUGCCUCCUGCAAGCAAACGGGCGAGAAAAGAGGACUCACCGCUGGAAUUGGCGUGUGAGUGGGGGUCCUGCCAAGAGUCGUUCGAUCGGAUGCAGGAGUUCUGCGAGCAUGUGGAGGGUCACCUCAAGGCGCUGGACAUUGAGGACGGGGAAAAGUACUCAUUUGAGGAGCUCAGCUGUCUAUGGAUAGAUUGUGGGUUCUGCUCUGUGGAGAGUGCUGAGGAGUUUAAGCGCCACGUCUAUUUCCACUGUUACCACACCAAGCUGAAGCAGUGGGGCCAGGGGGUACUCAAGGCCCAGCCCAGCCUCGGUACCUGCGCCAUUGGCCUCCACAACCGCAACAUCGUGCCUGACAUCACAGACAACUUCAUCUGCCAGUGGGAGCAAUGUGAGCAACCCUCCUUUGCCAACCCAGAGUGGUUCUACCGCCAUGUGGAGAUGCACAGUAUGUGUAUGGACGUACCCUCUGCUGAUAAGGAGCUCUUGUUGCACUGUGGCUGGAAGGACUGCGAGGCCACGUUUAAAAGGCGUUUUAAGAUGCGGGAGCAUUUGCGGAGCCACACCGGGGAGAAGGUGGUGGCCUGCCCAAUCUGUGGAGGGAUGUUCGCCAACAACACCAAGUUCUUUGACCACAUCAGUCGGCAGACCACCAUUGAGGGUCAGAGGUUCCAGUGUUCCCACUGCUCCAAACGCUUUGCAACGGAGAGACUACUGAGGGACCACAUGAGGAAUCAUGUGAACCACUACAAGUGUCCAUUGUGUGACAUGACCUGCCCGUCCCCCUCAUCGCUGCGGAACCACAUCAAGUUCCGCCAUAGCAAUGAGAAGCCUUACAGCUGUGAAUACUGCGAGUACAGCUGUAAGAACCAGAUCGACCUUCGUAAACACAUGGACACCCACAGCACUGAGCCGGCCUACCGCUGUGACUUCACCAACUGUGACUACACAACACGCACACUGCACUCCAUCAAGAACCACUACAAGAAAGUACAUGAGGGAGAUUUUGUGGCUCGCUACAAGUGUCAUGUCUGUGAGCAGUGCUUCACUAGAGGGAACAGCCUCACUGCCCACCUCCGCAAGAAGCACCAGUUCAAAUGGCCCUCUGGACACCCCCGAUUCAGGUAUAAGGAGCAUGAGGACGGCUUCAUGCGUCUGCAGCUGAUCCGCUAUGAGAGCGUGGAGCUGACCGAGCAACUGAUGAGAGGGAGACCGGAGGGGGAGGACGCUGCCCGGACAGAUAUCCUGGGGCCUGGGGAGGAUGCCAGGGCAGUAGCACACUCCAUGGAGAGGCUGCUACUGAGGGACAGAAAACAGGCAACCAUGAGACUGUACUCAUUGCUGCUACUGCUCCUGGGGUCCUCACAUGGGUUGUUCACACAGCUGCCUGAGUUAAUGGAGGAUGAGGAAGGUAGCGGUGUGACAGAGGCGACUCCAGAGCCAGAACCUGUGGAUGACACCUACUGGUCAGGCACAGCCCCCAUCUGUAUGGGUGGUUGUAAGGGGAGACACCAGGAACUGAAGAAGGAUCGCUGUGGGGACUCUGACUGCUGCUGGUUUGGCUACAAAUCCCUCUGCAGAGUGAACUGUGGGAGGCCUGACGUGGACUAUAACGGGAUGGUGUACGGGAACGACUGGUGGGUGGGCUCAGUGGUCCGGUACGCCUGUCGCCCUGGCUUCCUAUUGGUGGGGGACCCUGCCCGAGCCUGCCAGUCCAAUGGAGGCUGGACCCCCAAACCCUCCUGUCUCAGGGUGUGUCGUCAGGGCCGUGUGGAGAUCACUGAGAAGGAGCUAGAAACGGCUACCUGCUCAUCCACCUGUCCUCUUAAGUCCUACAUGGGGCCUCUUAAGCAGGGCUGCUACCGCAUCGACAACUGCAGGAAGAUUAAUCCUGACUGGAAGCGCUGGUUCACCCGCUGUGACACGUGCCUGUGUGAUUGCCACAUCGCCUGUGCAUCUUUAGGUUAAAAGACGGACGUAUUCCACUAUUGAGUGACUAGAAUAUGUAUUGCAAAACAACCACAAGGAAUAUCAGUGACCAGCUUAACAUCACAGAUGCUCAUCGGAAUCUUAAUCGGAAUGCUGAAAUCCUCAUCGGACUACUGCUGCUUCAUCUGCUGUCGGAAGGAGGAUCAAAGGGGAACCUAGAGAGACAUCUCUGUGGAACUAACAAACAGUCUGUCGCGACAGACUGCUGUGGUCCUAACCUCAACCUCAUAGAGCACCGAGGCAAAGACACUCUACGUUUCCUCAACGAACUCCCCGACUACGUAAAGGACUCAUCGUGAGGCGUAGAUGAACAGUUUUGACGAGGCUAGAGGGGGAGGUCUCUCCAAGUGUAGAGAUUCUGUUGGGAUUAAUGAGUUGUCCUUUUAGCUCAACCUGCUCAUUCAAUCUGUCCUGGAACCUAGAAUGAGCUGGUUGUGGGGCUGAGACCUUAAUCUUGUUACUCACCGCAGCCCAGGGAAGAGGAGAGGUCAGAGGAGGGCCAGGUUAACUAUCUAACAGCAUGUUUACUAUACUGGGUGUGGAGAUAGCUUGGAGUACAUAAUAUGCAAUGUGUUUUAGUGUAUUUGCAAAUGGAUGGGAUACACUUUGUUGAUUAUUGUAUGUCUUUUAUUUAUCCUCAUGUUACAGCCAUUGGUUGGACUGUCUGUAUUGCUUAGAAGAUGUAGAUGGUUAACCAAAGUCAAGGUGCUUCCUCACUAACAAUGUUAGUUGUUGAUGAUUUGUUGUCUUCUUAUGAAUCCUGGUAAAAUGUAAUGUGAAACUACACACUCAACCAACUCAGUGUUUCGACCAUAGAGAUCUAGUUUCAUUAUAUUUCGAAUCCAUUCUAUUUAAUUAUGUGGUUUAGAUCAAGUGCUGAGCCGCAGGAUGUGUUCAUCUUCUUUGGGUUGGUAGCAGCCAACUCCUGCAAAGAAAUGAACAUGACCAAGUCAAACAUUAUUUUGUCUUUAGUAAUGCAAUGCUAAAAACUGCUUAUUACGCGCAGAAUAGAAUAAAAUACAAUUGUUUUGUACAUACUGGGAGAACAGAAGAAUAAGAGAUGACUCAUAAGCACUGUUUAGACCCACACUUACCUGCAUCCAUCCUGGUCUGAACCCCAGAUUACUCUUGACAGUAGCUCCCAGUAGGUUCGAUUGGCCUCCAUCCCAGCCACUCCAUUGACACGCUCCGUGGGAAGUCCUCUUUCACUGUGAACCUAUUAAAUGGAGAGCAACACGUGUAAGUUAAUCAUGCACAACAAGGCAGGAUAGAUUAUGAUGACUGACAAUACUGUACAACGUUUUGAUAAGAGAAAUGGACUUCGAUUUCUGGAAGUAUGUAAUUGUAAAAUGAGGAAGAAUUAAGCCUGAAAAUGUAUGAUAAUACAAGAGAUUACAUAGACCUCUCUGUCUAAUACAAUGUAUUUCAAUUAGUGAUUGUUCAUAAUGCUGAUGAUAAUGACCAAUGUUCCUUACUUGAAGUCGUGGUCUGUGUCCUCCAGUCUCCUCAUGGCCCCCAAUAGUACUCCCCCUUCCACCACAGAGCUGGAGUAGACCUGACCAGCCAAUUCUCCAUUGGACAGCUCAUUCUCCACAGACAGCCUGAUAGGCACUGCCACCCUCACUGGACCUACAGGAUGCAACAAGAACCCGAGAUAAUGAAGGCUUAUUAUGACCCUUUAAGUGGUAUCAGCAGCUGCAGAAGAGCCACAGAGAGGAGAGUUGUACGUCUUGGUGCCAUUAUGAUGAUUCUACUUGCUGUCUCAAUCCAGAUGUCUCUUGCUCGGUCACACACACAAGAUCACUACUUAUACUGUACCUGAUCCCAGUUUAUGAGCACAUUCCAGCCCCAUGUUGACAUGGUUUAUGUUUCGUAUUUAUUGUGGAAUAACGUCAGCACGCUCUUUAAGAACUCACGCUUAUGACAAAAUGGCUUUUCUUUCAAAUGUUCCCUUUUGCUCCAUUUAAGGAAACUUUUCACAAGGCCAUUCUUCUUCAAACAUAUUGUGAAUAGAAAGUGAUGUGUUAGCUUAGCUUGUCAUUGAUAUAAUAAAGCAGAAACCUGCAUUGA
Coregonus clupeaformis (lake whitefish) is the source of this 4386-nucleotide RNA transcript. It is a transcript of the gene named histone H4 transcription factor, with no coding region annotated. Lineage: Eukaryota; Metazoa; Chordata; Actinopteri; Salmoniformes; Salmonidae. The record is from RefSeq and is a predicted model, not a curated record. The transcript is spliced from 15 exons.